This 433-nucleotide ribosomal RNA is filed under the name uncultured bacterium. RNAcentral describes it as "partial 16S ribosomal RNA". It matches the Rfam family "Bacterial small subunit ribosomal RNA", at positions 29 to 507 of the family's 1533-position model. The record is from RNAcentral.
AACGAACGCUGGCGGCAUGCCUAACACAUGCAAGUCGAACGAGACCUUCGGGUCUAGUGGCGCACGGGUGCGUAACGCGUGGGAACCUGCCCUUAGGUUCGGAAUAACUCCCCGAAAGGGGUGCUAAUACCGGAUAAUGUCUUCGGACCAAAGAUUUAUCGCCUUUGGAUGGGCCCGCGUUGGAUUAGCUAGUUGGUAGGGGAAAAGCCUACCAAGGCGACGAUCCAUAGCUGGUCUGAGAGGAUGAUCAGCCACACUGGGACUGGGACACGGCCCAGACUCCUACGGGAGGGGGGAAUGGGGGAUACUGGGAAAUGGGGGGAAGGCUGAACCCGCAAUGGCGGGUGAGUGAUGAAGGCCUUAGGGUUGUAAAGCUCUUUUACCCGGGAUGAUAAUGACAGUACCGGGAGAAUAAGCUCCGGCUAACUCCGUG